Molecule: ribosomal RNA, 500 nt
Filed under: uncultured Glomeromycotina
Lineage: Eukaryota; Fungi; Glomeromycota
Description: partial small subunit ribosomal RNA
Rfam family: Eukaryotic small subunit ribosomal RNA
Source: RNAcentral
CCAAUAGCGUAUAUUAAAGUUGUUGCAGUUAAAAAGCUCGUAGUUGAAUUUCGGGAUCAAUUUAUUGGUCGUGCCAACGGUACGCACUGGUACAAUUGGUUUCUCCCUUCUGACGAAGCAUGAUGUCAUUAACUUGGUGUCGUGGGGAAUCAGGACUGUUACUUUGAAAAAAUUAGAGUGUUUAAAGCAGGCUUUGGCUUGAAUACAUUAGCAUGGAAUAAUGAAAUAGGACGUUUGAUCUUAUUUCGUUGGUUUCUAAGAUCGACGUAAUGAUUAAUAGGGAUAGUUGGGGGCAUUAGUAUUCAAUUGUCAGAGGUGAAAUUCUUGGAUUUAUUGAAGACUAACUACUGCGAAAGCAUUUGCCAAGGAUGUUUUCAUUAAUCAAGAACGAAAGUUAGGGGAUCGAAGACGAUCAGAUACCGUCGUAGUCUUAACCAUAAACUAUGCCGACUAGGGAUCGGAUGAUGUUAAUUUUUUAAUAACUCAUUCGGCGCCUUACG